Long non-coding RNA from Herpailurus yagouaroundi (jaguarundi), 361 nucleotides. RefSeq lists it as uncharacterized. The transcript has 3 exons. NCBI's taxonomy places the organism in Eukaryota, Metazoa, Chordata, Mammalia, Carnivora, Felidae. The record is from RefSeq and is a predicted model, not a curated record.
GCAAAAGAAAAAAAAAGCUGCAAUCCUCAACUCUUUCAUGACCCAUGCCAUUGCUGUGGCUUUGCAGCUCCUUCCAUCAGGAGGACAUUGGCACUUCUGACUCUUGGACAUUUGAACUCAGACUAGGACUUAUACCAUGGCCCUCCAAUGAUCAGGCCUUUGGUGUCAGGCUUAACUACACCACGGAUUUUCCUGGUUAUCCAGCUUGCAGAUGGCAGAUUGUGGGACCUCACAGCCUCCAUGACGAUGAAGAAGCAGGUAGAGAAAGUACUGUAGUCAACUGACGGAAAAAUGGUUUUCUUCAUGGAAUCAGCGAAUACCAGCCCGUUUCUUCAUCCUUAGUUGCACAAACCAUCCUCAC